This 452-nucleotide ribosomal RNA is filed under the name uncultured bacterium. RNAcentral's name for it is "bacterial SSU rRNA". It matches the Rfam family "Bacterial small subunit ribosomal RNA", at positions 29 to 526 of the family's 1533-position model. The record is from RNAcentral.
AACGAACGCUGGCGGCAGGCCUAACACAUGCAAGUCGAGCGCGCCCUUCGGGGUGAGCGGCGGACGGGUUAGUAACGCGUGGGAAUAUACCCAGUUCUACGGAAUAGCCUCGGGAAACUGAGAGUAAUACCGUAUACGCCCUUCGGGGGAAAGAUUUAUCGGAAUUGGAUUAGCCCGCGUUAGAUUAGGUAGUUGGUGGGGUAAUGGCCUACCAAGCCUACGAUCUAUAGCUGGUUUGAGAGGAUGAUCAGCAACACUGGGACUGAGACACGGCCCAGACUCCUACGGGAGGCAGCAGUGAGGAAUAUUGGACAAUAGGCGAAAGCCUGAUCCAGCGACGUCACGUGAAUGAUGAAGGCCUUAGGGUUGUAAAAUUCUUUUAGUGGAGAAGAUAAUGACGGUAUCCACAGAAAAAGUCCCGGCUAACUUCGUGCCAGCAGCCGCGGUAACAC